UUGAACGCUGGCGGCAGGCCUAACCCAUGCAAGUCGAGCGGAUGAAGGGAGCUUGCUCCUGGAUUCAGCGGCGGACGGGUGAGUAAUGCCUAGGAAUCUGCCUGGUAGUGGGGGAUAACGUCCGGAAACGGGCGCUAAUACCGCAUACGUCCUGAGGGAGAAAGUGGGGGAUCUUCGGACCUCACGCUAUCAGAUGAGCCUAGGUCGGAUUAGCUAGUUGGUGGGGUAAAGGCCUACCAAGGCGACGAUCCGUAACUGGUCUGAGAGGAUGAUCAGUCACACUGGAACUGAGACACGGUCCAGACUCCUACGGGAGGCAGCAGUGGGGAAUAUUGGACAAUGGGCGAAAGCCCGAUCCAGCCAUGCCGCGUGUGUGAAGAAGGUCUUCGGAUUGUAAAGCACUUUAAGUUGGGAGGAAGGGCAGUAAGUUAAUACCUUGCUGUUUUGACGUUACCAACAGAAUAAGCACCGGCUAACUUCGUG
RNAcentral lists this ribosomal RNA (483 nucleotides) under uncultured bacterium. Its description in RNAcentral is "partial 16S ribosomal RNA". It matches the Rfam family "Bacterial small subunit ribosomal RNA", at positions 30 to 507 of the family's 1533-position model. The record is from RNAcentral.